RNAcentral lists this long non-coding RNA (202 nucleotides) under Ananas comosus (pineapple). Its description in RNAcentral is "long non-coding RNA (ACOM_LNC024833)". Lineage: Eukaryota; Viridiplantae; Streptophyta; Magnoliopsida; Poales; Bromeliaceae. The record is from RNAcentral.
AAAAAGAAAAAAACCUCCAAAUUUUUACCGAGUAAAAAAUAAUUUUUUCCAUACAAAAAUUCUUUAUACAUUUCAUAUGCAGCUAGCGCCUAGUGCGAUCUGACAUAUAAAUUAGCUAAUAUACUCUGAAAAGCAAGAUAUUCUAAAAUACUAAUAAAUGUUUGUAACAUUUGUCUCUAAUAGAGUGAGAAACUAAUAAAUU